This 66-nucleotide transfer RNA is filed under the name Baltalimania ylvae. RNAcentral describes it as "tRNA-Glu". The record is from RNAcentral. Lineage: Eukaryota; Metazoa; Xenacoelomorpha; Acoela; Isodiametridae.
ACUAUUUUAGUAUAAAUAAAUAUAUGGAAUUUUCUUUUCCAAGUUUCUCUAAUAUGAAAAUAGUAU